RNAcentral lists this ribosomal RNA (169 nucleotides) under Sphyraena japonica (Japanese barracuda). RNAcentral's name for it is "partial 12S rRNA". The record is from RNAcentral. Lineage: Eukaryota; Metazoa; Chordata; Actinopteri; Sphyraenidae.
CACCGCGGUUAUACGAGAGACCCAAGUUGAUAGCUGAUGGCGUAAAGCGUGGUUAGGGGCACAGAGGAAUAAAGUCGAAGGCUCUCUAGGCUGUUUAACGCUAACCGAGAGUAUGAAGCUCGAUUACGAAAGUAGCUUUAUUACACCUGAUCCCACGAACGCUGAGAAA